GCCAGUGUGGUCUAGUGGUUUGAAUAUUGGACUGUGACUCUGGAGACCAGGGUUUGAUUCCCAGCUUGGCCA
Molecule: non-coding RNA, 72 nt
Organism: Phrynosoma platyrhinos (Desert horned lizard)
Lineage: Eukaryota; Metazoa; Chordata; Lepidosauria; Squamata; Phrynosomatidae
Source: the annotation of a GenBank genome assembly